Molecule: ribosomal RNA, 1387 nt
Filed under: uncultured bacterium
Lineage: Bacteria
Description: partial 16S ribosomal RNA
Rfam family: Bacterial small subunit ribosomal RNA
Source: RNAcentral
AGAGUUUGAUCCUGGCUCAGAUUGAACGCUGGCGGCAUGCCUUACACAUGCAAGUCGAACGGUAACAGGUUAAGCUGACGAGUGGCGAACGGGUGAGUAAUAUAUCGGAACGUGCCCAGUCGUGGGGGAUAACUGCUCGAAAGAGCAGCUAAUACCGCAUACGACCUGAGGGUGAAAGCGGGGGAUCGCAAGACCUCGCGCGAUUGGAGCGGCCGAUAUCAGAUUAGGUAGUUGGUGGGGUAAAGGCCCACCAAGCCAACGAUCUGUAGCUGGUCUGAGAGGACGACCAGCCACACUGGGACUGAGACACGGCCCAAACUCCUACGGGAGGCAGCAGUGGGGAAUUUUGGACAAUGGGCGCAAGCCUGAUCCAGCCAUGCCGCGUGCGGGAAGAAGGCCUUCGGGUUGUAAACCGCUUUUGUCAUGGACUAAAAGGUUCUGGUUAAUACCUGGGACUCAUGACGGUACCCGAAGGAUAAGCACCGGCUAACUACGUGCCAGCAGCCGCGGUAAUACGUACGGUGCAAGCGUUAAUCUGAAUUACUGGGUAGCAGUGAAAUGCGUAGAUAUGCGGAGGAACACCGAUGGCGAAGGCAAUCCCCUGGACCUGUACUGACGCUCAUGCACGAAAGCGUGGGGAGCAAACAGGAUUAGAUACCCUGGUAGUCCACGCCCUAAACGAUGUCAACUGGUUGUUGGGAGGGUUUCUUCUCAGUAACGUAGCUAACGCGUGAAGUUGACCGCCUGGGGAGUACGGCCGCAAGGUUGAAACUCAAAGGAAUUGACGGGGACCCGCACAAGCGGUGGAUGAUGUGGUUUAAUUCGAUGCAACGCGAAAAACCUUACCUACCCUUGACAUGCCAGGAAUCCUGAAGAGAUUUGGGAGUGCUCGAAAGAGAGCCUGGACACAGGUGCUGCAUGGCCGUCGUCAGCUCGUGUCGUGAGAUGUUGGGUUAAGUCCCGCAACGAGCGCAACCCUUGUCAUUAGUUGCUACGAAAGGGCACUCUAAUGAGACUGCCGGUGACAAACCGGAGGAAGGUGGGGAUGACGUCAGGUCAUCAUGGCCCUUAUGGGUAGGGCUACACACGUCAUACAAUGGCCGGGACAGAGGGCUGCCAACCCGCGAGGGGGAGCUAAUCCCAGAAACCCGGUCGUAGUCCGGAUCGUAGUCUGCAACUCGACUGCGUGAAGUCGGAAUCGCUAGUAAUCGCGGAUCAGCUUGCCGCGGUGAAUACGUUCCCGGGUCUUGUACACACCGCCCGUCACACCAUGGGAGCGGGUUCUGCCAGAAGUAAUUAGCCUAACCGCAAGGAGGGCGAUUACCACGGCAGGGUUCGUGACUGGGGUGAAGUCGUAACAAGGUAACCAAGGGCGAAUUCCACAGUG